UACGGAGGGGGCUAGCGUUGUUCGGAAUUACUGGGCGUAAAGCGCACGUAGGCGGAUUGUUAAGUCGGGGGUGAAAUCCCGGGGCUCAACCCCGGAAUGGCCUCCGAUCCUGGCAAUCUUUAGGUCGGGAGAGGUGAGUGGAAUGGCGAGUGUAGACGUGAAAUUCGUAGAUAUUCACCGGAACUCCAGUGGCGAAGGCGGCUAACUGGCCCGAUACUGACGCUGAGGUGCUUCAGCGUGGAGAGCAAACAGG
Molecule: ribosomal RNA, 253 nt
Filed under: uncultured bacterium
Lineage: Bacteria
Description: partial 16S ribosomal RNA
Rfam family: Bacterial small subunit ribosomal RNA
Source: RNAcentral